This 2237-nucleotide long non-coding RNA is filed under the name Anser brachyrhynchus (Pink-footed goose). RNAcentral describes it as "lncRNA (ENSABRG00000005868.1)". The record is from RNAcentral. Lineage: Eukaryota; Metazoa; Chordata; Aves; Anseriformes; Anatidae.
CCCCUCUGUUUUUUUGCCUGCUGUGGAUUUGCCACGCUGGGCCUUCAGCACCGGUGGCUUUGCUUUGGAGCAAGGGCGGGGGUUGAAUUCGGGCUGCAAUGUGUGUGUGGGGCUGCGAAGCUGAGCGUUCCCUGCGGCCCAGGGCUGCCAGACAGAGCUGGGAGCGGCGCGGCCCAGUUCAGCGAGGACAGAGACGUUGUGGGCAGGGGAGGUGACCGUUCCUGGUAUGCUGGGAAUGCGAGGGAAGAGCCCUCUGUGACACAACUCCAUCUGCUUUUACUUAUUUCUCCCUUUCAUAUUCCACGGAGUUUUGGUUGCUGCUUGUUGUUCUCGUCGCCUGGGCCUUCCUCUAGGCUUUGUGAGCACCGGAGACGCCCCUCUCUCUGGAGACAUUUCACUCCCUCCAGCUGGGAGCGUGGCAUGCCCCAUCUGCUGCCGCUGCGGAGAGGAACUCACAGCUCCGCCGAGGCCCAGCGUUUCAUCCCAUCUCCAGGAGGGCAACCGGCUCUUCAGGGUGUCUGGGGAGGGGAGGUGGCUCCCAAACCCGCAGAGCACUGCAGUUUGGUCUGUUGUGCCUUCUGCAUGGCUCCCAGCGUAACGUCCCUCCACUUGUGUUUCAGGGUUUUCCCCCUGCUCCAAAAUCUGGUAGCAGAUUUGAUGUCCAUUUUAUUGUACCUUGUGUCGAGGACGGGGUAAGAAGUCCUUGAAGAAGCUGCCAGAGCAGUGGUAUCCACACCAAAUCUUCAUGAGGACUCAGGGCAAAGGGAACUGAGGAAAGCUUUGCAGACAAGAUACACAUUGCCUCACUUCAGAGGAGCAGCACAUGAAGCAGUAAGCACCCCAGGUUUAUGGUACUUAACCAACCUGUCCCACCAAGUGCCACCAAGCAUGCUGGAGCUCAGCCAGAGCCAGCUGUCGGGCUGCUCGCCCCUGUGAGGGGCCUACAGCUGCUGCUUUAAAGUUUGGGCUGUUUCUGGGAGAGGAGGGUAUCACUGGAGCACUUCAGAGGACAUGUCAACCUGCAGGAUGCCUGACUCCUCCUGGUGGGCAAGGUAGCAGAAAGCUGGAUGGGCAACCCAAAGAACAGGCUGGCCUGGUCCUUUUAAGGUACACUGCCUCUCUCCAGAGACUUUCCAAAUGCACGUCUGCCAAGGUCCACAUAUAGACAUCUAUAAAGGAGGGCUUGUUAGCCUUUCCCUGUUCCAAAAAGCUUGCCUCUCCCUUCCCCAUGCGAAGAUGACUAACCUCAUUCCAGUGAGAUCACGGUCAACAUGACCAGAGAAGAUCGAACAUAGCCAGACCUAUUCUGGAAGGUGAGGACAGGGCCUCAGCCGGCAUCCAGGGCCUGUCUGCACGAGGAGGGCUUCCACAUGCUUGUGCAGGCUGGGCCCAAACAGCAUCUAGCUUGUGCCCUGUGCUGUAAACACCAAGCACCACCCAGCCGUGACUCUGCAUUUUCUCCCAUACUGUCAAAGCAAAACGCUCGAGAAAGGCACCAGCUUAGCAUGAAACUGCCUUGAGCUGAGCGUGAUUCCCAGAGCCAGCCAAAAGCCAAGUGUAGCCCGAAUCUGAGUUGUGCCAACCCAGAGAGCAUCGGCCACUAGAUCUGUCCAGACCUCCCUGCUCCUUGCUCGUUCCUCUUGGUUUUGAGGAUGCCAGGAGGUGACAAGGCUGGGACUGUUUCUGGACCCUGUGGGUUUUUCUCCUCUCAUCAUUCCUGAGGUAAACAGCUGUGCUUUGCCAGCUUGAUGAGAAAUGCCUGUAGCUGCAUUUAUGCUGGGGACAACGACUGUGCCUGCUGCAAGCUGUUUUGCUCCCCGGUGGACCCCCGGAGAUGACUCCCGAAACCUCUGCCUGCGACCUCAGCCCUUCGCGCGCUCUCCGCUGCUGCCUGAUGUGCGCGCGCACACAGCGUGUCUCCGCACACACCCCUCUGUUUUUCUUUCCUUUUUGGCUUCCUCUCGCUGUAUUGUUUUAAGUUGGUGGCUGGGCUGGGUGCCAGUUUAAAUUUCAUCUGACUCUCCUCUCCUCCUCCUCCUCUGCCCCCCUGCUCGUCUCCCCCUCCAACCCCAGAAGUGAUACUGUUUACUUUCUCUGCUGCUUUCCCAAUGCCUUUGUAGGCACUGCGAGGGAUAUAAUCACCAGCUGUUUGGAGCUUUCUGAAACUCCAGCUUCUUCCUCGGUGCCCCCGGGCUAGCGACCUCGCCAUUAGAAAUAAAGAAAUGCAGCAAUGCUCA